UUGAAGCUCUCGCUGUCACUUUUCUGAUGCCCUAAAUUCAAAUUCCUCCGCAUCAUCUGUACUUGUUGAAUAAAUAUUUAGGCCCACUCUGAUCACGGUGCAGAGAAAAUACUUUUUCCUUCCCUUUUUCAAGGUGUUUUCACAGCAGCUGACACAGUGUAUGUGUUUUCUAUUUGUAACCUGCCAUGGAGCUGGCUUAUUAUCAGAGGAGUGACCACAGUGUCACAGUAACUGCCCUUAUCCCCACAUUCACGCUCACCCCUCCGUCUAUUACCAUUGCCCUGGUCUUGUUCCAUGCCAUCUGUGUCCAUAGCAACUGGACAGAAUAGGUUACUUAUUAUAGGACAGGGGCUCAGCUGCCAGGUAGUUUACAAUGAGAUUUGUCAUAUCCUCUUCCAAACAGGUCAACAGCACAUGAGGUACAGGAGGUCAGAGAGAUCUGGUGACUGUAGAGGCCAUUUGAAUGCAGUGAACUCAUUGCCACGUUCAAGAAACCUCUUUAAGACAAUCUGAAUGUUGUGACAUGGAGUGUUAUCCUGCUGGAAGAUGGACGCACUCAGAUGGAGAAUAACUCAACAGCACAGAUGUUUUUCUGCAGAGAGUGCUGUCUGACAAAAAGCCC
Long non-coding RNA from Oreochromis aureus, 622 nucleotides. RefSeq lists it as uncharacterized. The transcript has 4 exons. The record is from RefSeq and is a predicted model, not a curated record. Lineage: Eukaryota; Metazoa; Chordata; Actinopteri; Cichliformes; Cichlidae.